Non-coding RNA from Paramormyrops kingsleyae, 431 nucleotides. The record is from RefSeq and is a predicted model, not a curated record. Lineage: Eukaryota; Metazoa; Chordata; Actinopteri; Osteoglossiformes; Mormyridae.
GUUUUGAUAGGAUCCACCCCCAGAAGAUGAAAAUAUGGUACCAAAGACAAACUAAAGUAUAAGAUGACGAUGUGAAAUAAACCCACAGAGGAGCCGCCUGAUACUUCUGAAUAUUUCACCUCCCCCUUCACAGGUUUAAAUUCUUCAAUAACUGCACAGCGGAUAAAUAAUCCUUGAUUUUUCUCCAGAGGAUUGUAACGUCUGUAUCUCCUCCUGGCUUUCAGACACCAGUGUGGAUGUUCUUUGCAUUUUGAAAAAGAACAAAUCAGCUGCAGAGCUUCUUUGUGCUGCUUAGUCCAUGUCUUGUUCGUCUUUACAGAAAGUCCUGCUUACCUGACUGUUGACUCUUGGCUGAUGUGACUGUAAUUCUCUCUGUUUUUAAAAAAUAAACCUGCCUCCUCAUGUCUCUGGAGCCCUGUGAUUGGUUCCUA